AGUGAACGCUGGCGGUAGGCCUAACACAUGCAAGUCGAACGGCAGCACAGUAAGAGCUUGCUCUUACGGGUGGCGAGUGGCGGACGGGUGAGGAAAAAAUCGGACUCUCCUUUUUCGUGGGGGUUAACGUAGGGAAACUUACGCAAAUACCGAAUACGCCCUACGGGUGAAAGAAGGGGACCUUCGGACCUUGCGCGAUUGAAUGAGCGGAUGUCGGAUUAGCUAGUUGGGGGGGUAAAGGCCCACCAAGGCGACGAUCCGUAGCUGGUCUGAGAGGAUGAUCAGCCACACUGGAACUGAGACACGGUCCAGACUCCUACGGGAGGCAGCAGUGGGGAAUAUUGGACAAUGGGCGCAAGCCUGAUCCAGCCAUACCGCGUGGGUGAAGAAGGCCUUCGGGUUGUAAAGCCCUUUUGUUGGGAAAGAAAAGCAGCAGGUUAAUACCCCGCUGUUCUGACGGUACCCAAAGAAUAAGCACCGGCUAACUUCGUG
This 492-nucleotide ribosomal RNA is filed under the name uncultured bacterium. RNAcentral's name for it is "partial 16S ribosomal RNA". It matches the Rfam family "Bacterial small subunit ribosomal RNA", at positions 29 to 507 of the family's 1533-position model. The record is from RNAcentral.